This 421-nucleotide ribosomal RNA is filed under the name uncultured bacterium. RNAcentral's name for it is "bacterial SSU rRNA". It matches the Rfam family "Bacterial small subunit ribosomal RNA", at positions 28 to 444 of the family's 1533-position model. The record is from RNAcentral.
GAUGAACGCUAGCGGCAGGCUUAAUACAUGCAAGUCGAGGGGCAGCACGGGUAGCAAUACCUGGUGGCGACCGGCAAACGGGUGCGGAACACGUACGCAACUUUCCCAAAACUGGUGAAUAGCCCUCCGAAAGGAGGAUUAAUACACCGUAACAUAAUGAAGUGGCAUCACUUUAUUAUUAUAGCUCCGGCGGUUUUGGAUGGGCGUGCGCCUGAUUAGGUAGUUGGCGGGGUAACGGCCCACCAAGCCUUCGAUCAGUAACUGGUGUGAGAGCAUGAUCAGCCACACGGGCACUGAGACACGGGCCCGACUCCUACGGGAGGCAGCAGUAAGGAAUAUUGGUCAAUGGACGCAAGUCUGAACCAGCCAUGCCGCGGUGGAGGAUGAAGGCCCUCUGGGUUGUAAACUUCUUUUCUUUGGG